This 467-nucleotide ribosomal RNA is filed under the name uncultured bacterium. Its description in RNAcentral is "partial 16S ribosomal RNA". It matches the Rfam family "Bacterial small subunit ribosomal RNA", at positions 29 to 507 of the family's 1533-position model. The record is from RNAcentral.
ACGAACGCUGGCGGCGUGCUUAACACAUGCAAGUCGAACGGAAAGGCCCUGCUUUUGUGGGGUGCUCGAGUGGCGAACGGGUGAGUAACACGUGAGUAACCUGCCCUUGACUUUGGGAUAACUUCAGGGAACUGGGGCUAAUACCGGAUAGGAGCUCCUGCUGCAUGGUGGGGGUUGGAAAGUUUCGGCGGUUGGGGAUGGACUCGCGGCUUAUCAGCUUGUUGGUGGGGUAGUGGCUUACCAAGGCUUUGACGGGUAGCCGGCCUGAGAGGGUGACCGGCCACAUUGGGACUGAGAUACGGCCCAGACUCCUACGGGAGGCAGCAGUGGGGAAUAUUGCACAAUGGGCGGAAGCCUGGUGCAGCAACGCCGCGUGCGGGAUGACGGCCUUCGGGUUGUAAACCGCUUUCGCCUGUGACGAAGCGUGAGUGACGGUAAUGGGUAAAGAAGCACCGGCUAACUACGUG